RNAcentral lists this ribosomal RNA (759 nucleotides) under uncultured Prevotella sp. Its description in RNAcentral is "bacterial SSU rRNA". It matches the Rfam family "Bacterial small subunit ribosomal RNA", at positions 28 to 776 of the family's 1533-position model. The record is from RNAcentral. Lineage: Bacteria; Pseudomonadati; Bacteroidota; Bacteroidia; Bacteroidales; Prevotellaceae.
GAUGAACGCUAGCUACAGGCUUAACACAUGCAAGUCGAGGGGAAACGACAUUGAAGCUUGCUUCGAUGGGCGUCGACCGGCGCACGGGUGAGUAACGCGUAUCCAACCUGCCUCUGACUAAGGGAUAACCCGGCGAAAGUCGGACUAAUACCUUAUGAGGUUUUCUGCAGACAUCUAAUGAAAACGAAAGAUUUAUCGGUCAGCGAUGGGGAUGCGUCUGAUUAGCUUGUUGGCGGGGUAACGGCCCACCAAGGCAACGAUCAGUAGGGGUUCUGAGAGGAAGGUCCCCCACAUUGGAACUGAGACACGGUCCAAACUCCUACGGGAGGCAGCAGUGAGGAAUAUUGGUCAAUGGGCGAGAGCCUGAACCAGCCAAGUAGCGUGCAGGAUGACGGCCCUAUGGGUUGUAAACUGCUUUUAUGUGGGGAUAAAGUGAGCUACGUGUAGUUUAUUGCAGGUACCACAUGAAUAAGGACCGGCUAAUUCCGUGCCAGCAGCCGCGGUAAUACGGAAGGUCCAGGCGUUAUCCGGAUUUAUUGGGUUUAAAGGGAGCGUAGGCCGUGGAUUAAGCGUGUUGUGAAAUGUAGACGCUCAACGUCUGAAUUGCAGCGCGAACUGGUUCACUUGAGUAUGCACAACGUAGGCGGAAUUCGUCGUGUAGCGGUGAAAUGCUUAGAUAUGACGAAGAACUCCGAUUGCGAAGGCAGCUUACGGGAGCACAACUGACGCUGAAGCUCGAAGGUGCGGGUAUCAAACAGG